AGCGAACGUUGGCGGAAUGCUUAACACAUGCAAGUCGCACGCCCUGCAAGGGGAGUGGCGGACGGGUGAGUAACGCGUAGGAAUAUGUCCAGAGGUGGGGGACAACCCUGGGAAACUGGGGCUAAUACCGCAUAUGGGCUGAGGCCCAAAGCAGUGAUGCGCCUUUGGAGUAGCCUGCGUCCGAUUAGCUUGUUGGUGGGGUAAAGGCUUACCAAGGCGACGAUCGGUAGCUGGUCUGAGAGGACGACCAGCCACACUGGGACUGAGACACGGCCCAGACUCCUACGGGAGGCAGCGGUGGGGAAUAUUGGACAAUGGGCGCAAGCCUGAUCCAGCAAUUCCGCGUGGGUGAAGAAGGUCUUCGGAUUGUAAAGCCCUUUCGACGGGGACGAUGAUGACGGUACCCGUGGAAGAAGCCCCGGCUAACUUCGUGCCAGCCGCCGCAGUAA
Molecule: ribosomal RNA, 449 nt
Filed under: uncultured bacterium
Lineage: Bacteria
Description: partial 16S ribosomal RNA
Rfam family: Bacterial small subunit ribosomal RNA
Source: RNAcentral